Molecule: ribosomal RNA, 406 nt
Filed under: uncultured bacterium
Lineage: Bacteria
Description: partial 16S ribosomal RNA
Rfam family: Bacterial small subunit ribosomal RNA
Source: RNAcentral
AUCGAACGCUGGCGGCAGGCCUAAUACAUGCAAGUCGAACGAAUGGAGGACGGGUGAGCAAUGUAUGGGCAACUGCCCGAUGUAGCGGGAUAACUGCUGGAACCGGUAGCUAAUGCUGCAUACCAUCGGAUGUGUCCCGGUGGGAUUAGCUAGUAGCUGGGGUAACGGUUCCUCUAGGCGACGCUGCCUAGCUGGUCUGCGAGGGUGACCGGCCACACUGGAACGGAGACACGGUCCAGACUCCUACGGGAGGCAGCAGUGGGGAAUAUUGCACAAUGGGCGAAAGCCUGAUGGAGCCAUGCCGCGUGAAUGAAGAAGGCCUUCGGGUUGUAAAGUUCUUUCAUCGAGGAGGCGGUACUCGCAGAGGAAGUACCGGCUAACUCCGUGCCAGCAGCCGCGGUAAUAC